This 305-nucleotide ribosomal RNA is filed under the name uncultured bacterium. RNAcentral describes it as "bacterial SSU rRNA". It matches the Rfam family "Bacterial small subunit ribosomal RNA", at positions 333 to 635 of the family's 1533-position model. The record is from RNAcentral.
CUCCUCCUACGGGAGGCAGCAGUGAGGAAUAUUGGUCAAUGGGCGGUAGCCUGAACCAGCCACGUAGCGUGAAGGAUGAAGGUUCUACGGGUUGUAAACUUCUUUUAUAAAGGAAUAAAGUGAGGCACGUGUGCCUUUUUGUAUGUACUUUAUGAAUAAGGAUCGGCUAACUCCGUGCCAGCAGCCGCGGUAAUACGGAGGAUCCGAGCGUUAUCCGGAUUUAUUGGGUUUAAAGGGAGCGUAGAUGGGUUGUUAAGUCAGUUGUGAAAGUUUGCGGCUCAACCGUAAAAUUGCAAUUGAUACUG